GUGGGGAAUUUUGGACAAUUGGGGCAACCCUGAUCCAGCCAUCCCGCGUGUGCGAUGAAGGCCUUCGGGUUGUACAGCACUUUUGGCAGGGAAGAAAAGGUUCUGAUUAAUACCUGGAGCCGCUGACGGUACCUGCAGAAUAAGCACCGGCUAACUACGUGCCAGCAGCCGCGGUAAUACGUAGGGUGCAAGCGUUAAUCGGAAUUACUGGGCGUAAAGCGUGCGCAGGCGGUUCGGAAAGAAAGAUGUGAAAUCCCAGGGCUUAACCUUGGAAUGGCAUUUUUAACUACCGGGCUAGAGUAUGUCAGAGGGGUGUAGAAUUCCACGUGUAGCAGUGAAAUGCGUAGAGAUGUGGAGGAAUACCGAUGGCGAAGGCAGCCCCCUGGGAUAAUACUGACGCUCAUGCACGAAAGCGUGGGGAGCAAACAGGAUUAGAAACCCCUGUAGUCC
RNAcentral lists this ribosomal RNA (450 nucleotides) under uncultured bacterium. RNAcentral's name for it is "partial 16S ribosomal RNA". It matches the Rfam family "Bacterial small subunit ribosomal RNA", at positions 354 to 796 of the family's 1533-position model. The record is from RNAcentral.